UUUAAGUACAACCAUAAGUUUUCGUACUCAACUUUAAUCAUCAUUCUUAUUUGAAAAUUUUUUAUAAUUAGUAUUUAUGUUGUUAUGAGAUGAUAAAACAUGAAUAGUACUUUACUCGUGACUUAUGUUUUUAAUUUUUUUUAAAAAAAAAUUCAAAUAACGGACGAUUAAAGUUGAGCACGAAAAACCAUGACUGUACUUAAA
Oryza glumipatula is the source of this 204-nucleotide non-coding RNA. NCBI's taxonomy places the organism in Eukaryota, Viridiplantae, Streptophyta, Magnoliopsida, Poales, Poaceae. The record is from Rfam.